This 98-nucleotide non-coding RNA is filed under the name bovine gut metagenome. RNAcentral's name for it is "THF riboswitch". It matches the Rfam family "THF (Tetrahydrofolate) riboswitch aptamer". Rfam says of the family: THF riboswitch presents a pseudoknot that joins P1-P2 and the loop of P3 and two THF binding. The record is from RNAcentral.
GCAGAGUAGCUGCAGGCGCGCCAAGUGUCCAUGGACGGGGAGUUGCCAUGGGACGAAGCCGGGACCCCCGGCGCGGUGCCUGCCGCGCAUCCCGCUGC